This 250-nucleotide ribosomal RNA is filed under the name uncultured Chroococcidiopsis sp. RNAcentral describes it as "partial 16S ribosomal RNA". It matches the Rfam family "Bacterial small subunit ribosomal RNA", at positions 796 to 1044 of the family's 1533-position model. The record is from RNAcentral. Lineage: Bacteria; Bacillati; Cyanobacteriota; Cyanophyceae; Chroococcidiopsidales; Chroococcidiopsidaceae.
CUAGCUGCAAACGAUGGAUACUAGGCGUUGAGAGUAUCGACCCUCUCAGUGUCGUAGCUAACGCGUUAAGUAUCCCGCCUGGGGAGUACGCGCGCAAGCGUGAAACUCAAAGGAAUUGACGGGGGCCCGCACAAGCGGUGGAGUAUGCGGUUUAAUUCGAUGCAACGCGAAGAACCUUACCAGGGCUUGACAUGUCCGGAACCCUGCCCAAAGGCGGGGGUGCCUACGGGAACCGGAACACAGGUGGUGC